RNAcentral lists this ribosomal RNA (436 nucleotides) under Agrobacterium tumefaciens. Its description in RNAcentral is "bacterial SSU rRNA". It matches the Rfam family "Bacterial small subunit ribosomal RNA", at positions 56 to 540 of the family's 1533-position model. Lineage: Bacteria; Pseudomonadati; Pseudomonadota; Alphaproteobacteria; Hyphomicrobiales; Rhizobiaceae. The record is from RNAcentral.
UGCAAGUCGAACGCCCCGCAAGGGGAGUGGCAGACGGGUGAGUAACGCGUGGGAACAUACCCUUUCCUGCGGAAUAGCUCCGGGAAACUGGAAUUAAUACCGCAUACGCCCUACGGGGGAAAGAUUUAUCGGGGAAGGAUUGGCCCGCGUUGGAUUAGCUAGUUGGUGGGGUAAAGGCCUACCAAGGCGACGAUCCAUAGCUGGUCUGAGAGGAUGAUCAGCCACAUUGGGACUGAGACACGGCCCAAACUCCUACGGGAGGCAGCAGUGGGGAAUAUUGGACAAUGGGCGCAAGCCUGAUCCAGCCAUGCCGCGUGAGUGAUGAAGGCCUUAGGGUUGUAAAGCUCUUUCACCGAUGAAGAUAAUGACGGUAGUCGGAGAAGAAGCCCCGGCUAACUUCGUGCCAGCAGCCGCGGUAAUACGAAGGGGGCUAGCG